AAUAACUCUAGUUGUCCAGUGUUUGAUUUGUAAAACUGUUUCAGGUACACGACAAACUGGAGGCAAGGGACAGGAUAA
MicroRNA precursor from Medicago truncatula (barrel medic), 78 nucleotides. It matches the Rfam family "MIR5286 microRNA precursor family". The record is from Rfam. Lineage: Eukaryota; Viridiplantae; Streptophyta; Magnoliopsida; Fabales; Fabaceae.